GAGUGAACGCUGGCGGUAGGCCUAACCCAUGCAAGUCGAACGGCAGCACAGUAAUAGCUUGCUCUUACGGGUGGCGAGUGGCGGACGGGUGCGGAAUACAUCGGAAUCUACUUUUUCGUGGGGGAUAACGUAGGGAAACUUACGCUAAUACCGCAUACGACCUACGGGUGAAAGCAGGGGAUCUUCGGACCUUGCGCGAUUGAAUGAGCCGAUGUCGGGUUAUCUAGUUGGCGGGGUAAAGGCCCACCAAGGCGACGAUCCGUAGCUGGUCUGAGAGGAUGAUGGGCCACACUAGAAGUGGGACACGGUCCAGACUCCUACGGGAGGCAGCAGUGGGGAAUAUUGGACAAUGGGCGCAAGCCUGAUCCAGCCAUACCGCGUGGGUGAAGAAGGCCUUCGGGUUGUAAAGCCCUUUUGUUGGGAAAGAAAAGCAGCAGGUUAAUACCCCGCUGUUCUGACGGUACCCAAAGAAUAAGCACCGGCUAACUUCGUG
This 493-nucleotide ribosomal RNA is filed under the name uncultured bacterium. RNAcentral's name for it is "partial 16S ribosomal RNA". It matches the Rfam family "Bacterial small subunit ribosomal RNA", at positions 27 to 507 of the family's 1533-position model. The record is from RNAcentral.